This is a long non-coding RNA of Oryctolagus cuniculus (rabbit), 2997 nucleotides long. Lineage: Eukaryota; Metazoa; Chordata; Mammalia; Lagomorpha; Leporidae. The record is from Ensembl.
CGGCGCCGCAGGUGGAGGAUUAGCCUAGUGAGCUGUGGUGCCGGCCUCCAGAAACUUCUAAGAGAAACUAUGACCACCAAAUUAUACCUAAGGGAAUUGUCCUAAACAGUGCAAAUAAGCGACCUGACUUCUCAAUGCAUAAUGAAAACGAGGCAAGCAAGAAACAGCAGUAGCAAAUUCCUUCUUGGUCCUUUGGCAAAGACGGUUAUCAAGAGGCUAGGCUUGGGGCAAGAGCGGAGCACAGGAACCGGGCCAAAGCAGCUAAAUCGGCUUACUUCCUGGAGCUUGCCUUUCGGAUGACGCUUCAGGGAAGUUUACAAUACGACCUCCGCCUAGGAGAGCUGCAAGACGGCAGCCUGUGCUAGAACAGGGACACAGAGUGUACAGGCAGGUGCACCGCUCAGACAGGAAGGGCGCUCCCGCUCCACCUGCCACUCCUGGCCCCGCCCCCAACCUGGCCCCGCCCCCAACCUGAUCUUACUAUAAAAGCCCCAGCAAGCUGCUUCUGCUUCACAAGGGGGCAGUUUCUUUAGGCUACACAGCCUGCCCAGGAUGGCCUGUGUUACAUGUAAAUAAAGCGACGCUGGAGGCGCAUUGCGUGGUGACACCCUGAGCAAACGGUCCCUGGUGUCCGCUAGCCUCAAGUGAAGAGAUGACCCCAAGGCAAGGAGUUGGGAGAGAGGGAACCGCACCAAACUCCGCGGGAGAGAGUUGAAUGCAAGUAUGCCAACACUCACCGACUGAAGAACUGAAGGGGUUACACUCACACAUUCAAAUGACAAUACGAUUGAACACAGAAUCGCUAAGAGCAAACGUGGGAAGCAGCAAGGAGGCAAUUUUAGGUGAAAGAAGACUUUUGAAAUAGUAGUAAGAAAAUGCAGUACCUUCUUUUCUCCCGUAACUACCUUAUUCAUCCUCUGACUCUGAAAAGUGCAAAGCAUUGUGUAACCCCCAGCAUGACUGAGAAACGGCGUAUUUCAGCAAGUACUCUGGGACCCCUUUGUGGUAAGUUCUCCUGGGCCCUAGGACUGGCAACCACUGACACACUGAGAGCUUCUGUGUUUUUGUCUUCCCAAGACUGUCAUGUAUAUGAAAUUAUAUAACGUGAAGCCCUUUGUGCCUGGCUUCUUUAGGGAUUUAUAAUUUAUUUAUUUGAAAGACAAUGUGACACAGGGUGGGAGGGGGUGGACAGAGAGAGAGAGAGAGAAAGAGAGAGAGAGAGAUCUUCCAUUCACUGGUUUAUUCCCCAAAUAUCCACAAUAACCAGCACUGGGCCAGGUCAAAGCCAGGAGCCAGGGGACAUGAACUCCAUCAAGUCUCUCAUGUGGGCAGCGGGAAGCCAAAUACUUGUCUUAAGCCAACACCUGCUGCCUCCCAGGCACAGUAGCAGGAACCCGGGUCGGAAGUGUUGGCAGGGCUGGAUCCCACGCACUCAGCAGCAAGUGUGGCUGUCCCAAACAGCAGUUUAACUUGCUGCACCGUAACUCCUGCCACUGGCUUCAUUCUUUUAGCAAAAUACUGUUGCAGUUCAUCCAUGUCAUUGGACCUAGCAAUAUUUUGCCCCUUAUUUUUGUUGAGCCAUUUUCCACGUAACACUUAUCAAUUCACCUGUUGAAUGACAUUCACACUGUUUCCCGUUUUUCCCAAAUUUGAACAAAGCUACCAUAAACAGACGCAUGCACGACUUAAUGUGAACAUAAGCUUUUAUUCUUGGAAUAAUGCCUAGGACUUGAUUAUAGGUUGUACGAUGAGCAUAUGUUUAACUGUAUGAGAAACUGCCAAACUGUUUUCCAAAGUGACUGUACCAUUUUUGCAUUCCCACUAACAUUCUGCUAGAGAUUCAGUGGCUCUGCAAGUAUGUUAUCACUUGGCAGUGUUAGUUUAAUUAUUUUUUUAAUGUUAGUUAAAGAUGUGACUGGUAUCUCAUUACGGUUUCAAUAUCAUUUUGUUAAUGACUAAUGUUGAACAUCUUUGCAUUUUUAAUUGUUAUCUGCAUAUCUUCUGUGGUGAGAUCGAUAAAAUCUGUCUCCCAGUUUUUAUUGGGUUUAUGUUUUCUUCCUAAAUUCUAGAUUUAAGUUUUUUAUCAGAUAUGUGGUUAAAGUAUUUUCCACUCAGUCCAUGGUUUAUCUUUCCUGGAACUUAACAGUGUCUCUUGUAAAUCAGAUUUUUUUUUUUUUUGACAGGCAGAGGGGACAGUAAGAGACAGAGGGAAAGGUCUUCCUUUUCUGUUGGUUCACCCCUCAAUGCUUGCUGCGGCCAGCGCACCGCGCUGAUCCAAAGCCAAGAGCCAGGUGCUUCUCCUGGUCUUCCAUGGGGUGCAGGGCCCAAGCACUUGGGCCAUCCUCCACUGCACUCCCGGGCCACAGCAGAGAGCUGGACUGGAAGAGGGGCAACCAGGACAGAAUCUGGCACCCCGACUGGGACUAGAACCUGGGGUGCCGGCGCCACAUGUGGAGGAUUAGCCUAGUGAGCCGCGGCGCCAGCCAAUCAGAUGUUUUUAAUCACGUUGAAACCCAAUUAAUCAGGUUUCCCUUUUAUAUAUUGUGGGGGUUUUGUUUUGUUUUCUUUGGUCAUUUAGUUUGCCCAACUAAAGGGUAUUAUGAUUUUUUCUUAGUUUUCUAGUAGAAGUUUUAUGGUUUUAAAUUUUAGAUUUAGGUUUCUGACCCAUUUUUGGUUAUUUUCCAAAUAAGAUAUAAGAUGCAGGCCAGUGUUCACUUUGUCACAUGUGGGUAUUUUCUACAAUCCAUCUUUUUUUGAAUGAUCAGAGACUGUGACACCCCCAAUUUUAAUUUUCUAAAAACUGAUUUGCAUCUGCUACAAGAGUACCUCGAAACUUCAUGGAAACUCAACCAAAAGACAAAUUCAUUUUGAUGCAAAGAUUAAUGGAAUCCAUGGGUUUUUUUCAUAAUAUACAUUUCCAUGAACUUUUUGAAGAUGCGUCAUAUACCUAAAUGUGAAAAAUUUUUUUGGUCAAAAUAAAUGUAUUUUUUUAUUCCA